RNAcentral lists this ribosomal RNA (253 nucleotides) under uncultured bacterium. RNAcentral's name for it is "partial 16S ribosomal RNA". It matches the Rfam family "Bacterial small subunit ribosomal RNA", at positions 524 to 776 of the family's 1533-position model. The record is from RNAcentral.
UACGUAGGAGGCAAGCGUUGUCCGGAAUUACUGGGCGUAAAGAGCUCGUAGGUGGUUGGUCGCGUUGUUCGUGAAAUCUCACGGCUUAACUGUGAGCGUGCGGGCGAUACGGGCAGACUGGAGUACUGCAGGGGAGACUGGAAUUCCUGGUGUAGCGGUGGAAUGCGCAGAUAUCAGGAGGAACACCGGUGGCGAAGGCGGGUCUCUGGGCAGUAACUGACGCUGAGGAGCGAAAGCGUGGGGAGCGAACAGG